Molecule: long non-coding RNA, 301 nt
Organism: Salvia miltiorrhiza (redroot sage)
Lineage: Eukaryota; Viridiplantae; Streptophyta; Magnoliopsida; Lamiales; Lamiaceae
Exons: 2
Source: RefSeq, a predicted model, not a curated record
AUUAAGGUCAAGCGCGAGAAUAAGAACUACACAAGGAGUUAGAGUACCUUAGCAAAACUUUGCUAUCAGGUUGAGCUGUGAUGGGCGAUGAAGUGUUGUUGCUGAGUGGAGUUUUUGUUGAACUUAAAGUAGGCUCAGAAAGGAUACAUGUCUUCAUACAUGUAUCUCAGUUAUGCAUUUCGCUGUAAACACUGAUUAUUUCAGUUACGCCUUCCGCUGCAAACUCUGAUAAUGUUUUAGCCAAGCCCCUAACGAUGCCUUUUUCCUUUUAAGGAAUAUAACGCGUAUACAAGUUCUUUUA